RNAcentral lists this transfer RNA (75 nucleotides) under Bacillota bacterium. RNAcentral describes it as "tRNA-Gly". It matches the Rfam family "tRNA". From Rfam's summary of the family: Transfer RNA (tRNA) molecules are approximately 80 nucleotides in length. Their secondary structure includes four short double-helical elements and three loops (D, anti-codon, and T loops). Further hydrogen bonds mediate the characteristic L-shaped molecular structure. tRNAs have two regions of fundamental functional importance: the anti-codon, which is responsible for specific mRNA codon recognition, and the 3' end, to which the tRNAs corresponding amino acid is attached (by aminoacyl-tRNA synthetases). tRNAs cope with the degeneracy of the genetic code in two manners: having more than one tRNA (with a specific anti-codon) for a particular amino acid; and 'wobble' base-pairing, i.e. permitting non-standard base-pairing at the 3rd anti-codon position. The record is from RNAcentral. Lineage: Bacteria; Bacillati; Bacillota. RNAcentral also lists the same sequence under 2 other names.
GCGGAAGUAGCUCAGCGGUAGAGCAUCGCCUUGCCAAGGCGGGGGCCGCGGGUUCAAAUCCCGUCUUCCGCUCCA